This 425-nucleotide ribosomal RNA is filed under the name uncultured bacterium. RNAcentral describes it as "partial 16S ribosomal RNA". It matches the Rfam family "Bacterial small subunit ribosomal RNA", at positions 354 to 796 of the family's 1533-position model. The record is from RNAcentral.
GUGGGGAAUCUUGCGCAAUGGGCGAAAGCCUGACGCAGCCAUGCCGCGUGAAUGAUGAAGGUCUUAGGAUUGUAAAAUUCUUUCACCGGGGACGAUAAUGACGGUACCCGGAGAAGAAGCCCCGGCUAACUUCGUGCCAGCAGCCGCGGUAAUACGAAGGGGGCUAGCGUUGCUCGGAAUUACUGGGCGUAAAGGGCGCGUAGGCGGACAGUUUAGUCAGAGGUGAAAGCCCAGGGCUCAACCUUGGAAUGGCCUUUGAUACUGGCUGUCUUGAGUACGGGAGAGGUGAGUGGAACUCCGAGUGUAGAGGUGAAAUUCGUAGAUAUUCGGAAGAACACCAGUGGCGAAGGCGACUCACUGGCCCGUUACUGACGCUGAGGCGCGAAAGCGUGGGGAGCAAACAGGAUUAGAUACCCCGGUAGUCC